This 199-nucleotide long non-coding RNA is filed under the name Elaeis guineensis (African oil palm). Its description in RNAcentral is "long non-coding RNA (EGUI_LNC053682)". The record is from RNAcentral. Lineage: Eukaryota; Viridiplantae; Streptophyta; Magnoliopsida; Arecales; Arecaceae.
UCAGAGUAGUGAUCUGGCUGGUGGAGCCUGUCCCAUUGUAGAAGCUCGUCUGGGAUCCAGUUUCGAAGAAGCUCGACUGAAGUCUACCCGUAAUAGAAGUUCGGAAGAAAUUUGUUUACAGUAGAGAUCCAGAGUAGGCCGUCUGCAGUAGGAGUUCGGAGUAGACUGCUUGCUAUAGAAGUUCGGCUCUCGCAGGAGC